This 1206-nucleotide long non-coding RNA is filed under the name Equus caballus (horse). Its description in RNAcentral is "lncRNA (ENSECAG00000031606.3)". The record is from RNAcentral. Lineage: Eukaryota; Metazoa; Chordata; Mammalia; Perissodactyla; Equidae.
UCACAAUGGCCUCCAGGAUUGUGAGUGGCCUCUGGGAGCUGAGGGAAGCUUCCAGUUGAUGUCCAACAAGAAGCUGGGAUCCUUAGUCCUACAGGCAAAGGACACAAAUUCUGUCAACAACCUGAGUGUAUUCCUGGUCCUGCUCAGUGCUCUGGCAGGGUGAACCUCUACUGAUUGCAUCAAUUUGCUCCCUUUUCUCUGGCUUCUCAAUGGGUUCAGCCAAUGGGAGGCACCAGCAGGAAAUCAAAGAAUGGAAGGCAAGAGAAGGCUGCAUUCAAGAGCAUGUAAGCAUCUAAUGUGCAUGCACUGAACUUCUUCAAGGGACAAGAACCUGGCUCCUGAGGCCUGUGGGCUUCCACUUGACACCAGGAAUUCUAAAGUGCCCACACUCAAAAGAAGUCAUUCUCUUCCCCGGUGUCCUGAUUGAAAAAGAGUCACAUUGGAAAAUGUGCUGUAUCCAUUAACCUUUUUGCAAAGAGCAGAAGGUCCACAGAGUUUGUCAGCAUGGCGUAUACUGUACUGUAGGAAAACAUACAUAAAUAAGGUAAAGCCAGCCUCUGUGUUAUGAGGACACUCCAGCAGUCCUAUGGAGAGGAUCAUGAGGAGGGAAACCAAGAUCUCCAGAGGAACAGACACCCCCUGACAACAUCCAGGGGAGUAAGCUGGGAAGCAGAUUACCUGGUCUUGGUCAAGACUUCGUAUGACUGCAAUCCUGGCCAGCACCUUCACUGCAACUUCAUGAAAGAUCCUAGACCAGAACCAUCCAGUUAAGCUGUCCUGUUUUUCCAACCCAUGGAAAUAAUGAGAAAAUAAAUGUUUGUUGUUUUAGGUCAUUCUAUUUUGGAAUGAUUUAUCAUAUAAUAAUCAAUAACUAAUACAGUACCAGGGGCAGGUUUUAAUUUGGAAUGAGUGUAUAGGAAAAUAUAAAGAAUAUGGUCAGAAAAAUUUAUCUUUUAUCCUUUAUUUUUUUUAUAUAUAGAAAUUAAUAGGCAUUAUGUAGAGAAAAUAGGAACACUUUUCAUGGGGUAUUUGGGUUGCAAAGUCAGAAAAUAUAACUCACACUUAUGUCAUCAUCGUUAUAAUUCUUACCAAAUACUAUUAAAAAUAAACUAUUUCAAAUAGUACUCUUGUAUUCAAUGACUUUUAUAAAGCCAUUGAAUAACAUAUCCCAGCUCUUAGGAACUCACAGAAUAUAGCAAUCUCUAC